This 1030-nucleotide long non-coding RNA is filed under the name Homo sapiens (human). RNAcentral's name for it is "long independently transcribed non-coding RNA 1508 (LINC01508)". The record is from RNAcentral. Lineage: Eukaryota; Metazoa; Chordata; Mammalia; Primates; Hominidae.
GACGACGCGGGUGGGGAGAGACUGUGCACCUACACGUGUCACUUCACAAAGGCCUCCAGGGGCUUAUGAUCAGGCAAAGGAGACACCAGGAAAGAGGAGCAGAGUGGCUAGGGCAGUGCACUGCAGAUGCAUGGACGAAAGCUCGCAGCGACACAGGUAUGGGGUGUCUAAUCAGGGAUGAGUGUGAGCAGCAGAAUGAGGAGCAUGCUUUCCCAGAGGAAGAGAGGAAGCCACUGGAGAGAUGAAGGAUGCCAUGGACAGGAGGUGGUGUCUCUGGAGCCGCCGAGCAGCAGCCUCAUUGCUCAGAAGAUGAAGAUGCUGACGAAGACCCAGACAGGAAAAAAGGAAGAAAAAGCAUCCUGAUUGUUCCAUUAGCAAAGCCACAGUCCCGGAGAGCAAGGGGAGGGGCACAGCAGGCAGCCGCACCCAUGGGAUGCAUCUGCAGCUUGUGAGCAAUGCAUGAAAGAUGAAUCACACAGCAGCAAUGCCUUCAGCUUCCGUGUGCUAUGGCUCACUCAGCACCAGCUCUGCAGGCUGCCUAAGCCAGAAGUCAGUCUCUGCCUUUAGACUUGCUCACUUCUUUUAGGAACGGAGAUAUCCUCUGAUCCCUUGUCCUACAACCUCGAUUAAUAUCUUUCCAACAGCCAUCUGCCAAACUCAAGAAGACCCUGGAACAACCUAAUUGGAAAAGUUUCCAUCUUAUCCCUUGGAAAACUAUAGAAAAGUAGUGUCACACAAAUGUUUAAUUUCUGAUUUCUACAAUUUCAGAUACCAGAGUUUAUCUGUUACCAUGACAACUAACAGCUUUAUAAAUGUUUUCUAGCCUCUGCUAUUUUCUGGAACUUAUCUACAUUUCAGUAUUUGCUUAAUAAUUUUGAGCUGACACUAGCAACAUAAUUGUGUCUGGAUUGUGUAUGUGUAUGUCUUGUGUGUGUUGGCAGGGGGUGGGUAUAACCUAUGUCAGUGUUUUUCAAUGUGAGCAAAUUUUAAUAAACUUUUAUAUUUAAUGUGAACAUUAAAAAAAAAAAAA